AUUGAACGCUGGCGGCAUGCUUUACACAUGCAAGUCGAACGGUAACAGGUUAAGCUGACGAGUGGCGAACGGGUGAGUAAUGCAUCGGAACGUGCCCGGUCGUGGGGGAUAACGCAGCGAAAGCUGCGCUAAUACCGCAUACGAUCUGAGGAUGAAAGCGGGGGACCGUAAGGCCUCGCGCGAUCGGAGCUGCCGAUGUCAGAUUAGGUAGUUGGUGGGGUAAAGGCUCACCAAGCCGACGAUCUGUAGCUGGUCUGAGAGGACGACCAGCCACACUGGGACUGAGACACGGCCCAGACUCCUGCGGGAGGCAGAAGUGGGGAAUUUUGGACAAUGGGCGCAAGCCUGAUCCAGCAAUGCCGCGUGCAGGAAGAAGGCCUUCGGGUUGUAAACUGCUUUUGUACGGAGCGAAAAGGCUCUCUCUAAUACAGGGGGCUCAUGACGGUACCGUAAGAAUAAGCACCGGCUAACUACGUGCCAGCCGCCGCAGUAA
RNAcentral lists this ribosomal RNA (493 nucleotides) under uncultured bacterium. RNAcentral describes it as "partial 16S ribosomal RNA". It matches the Rfam family "Bacterial small subunit ribosomal RNA", at positions 30 to 523 of the family's 1533-position model. The record is from RNAcentral.